Molecule: long non-coding RNA, 1036 nt
Filed under: Dasypus novemcinctus (nine-banded armadillo)
Lineage: Eukaryota; Metazoa; Chordata; Mammalia; Cingulata; Dasypodidae
Description: lncRNA (ENSDNOG00000052156.1)
Source: RNAcentral
UAAUAUUUUAAAGAAUAUUCCAUUUUGUGCUGCAGGGAGACGGGCGAGCUGGCUGACGCCCAUGCCCAUUGCCUGGACCUACCAGGACGCCCCUGGGCUGGAAGGUGUCCAGGGCAGGCCGGCGGCGGAGCUGUGCGAGCUGCCCAGUUUAGGGAGAAGGAAAGAGUUUGGAGAAGAGAAAUCCAUACUGCAUAGUCAGAAGAGAAGCCUUGGAAAUCAAACAGCUGGAUUCAAGUCCUGGAUCCACCAGUUACUAGCUGUGCAAUCUUGGGUAAAUUAUUGAACCUCUCUGUACCUCAGCCCUCUCCUCUGGAAAAUAGUGAUAAUAGGGUAACUAUGACAAGUAAAUGAGAUGGUAUACACCUGACUUGUCACAGGACCUAGGACACAACAAGAGAUCGGUAAACAUGGUUGGUGGCUGUGGGGUUGUUUUUCAGGGCAUCAGAGUUGCCCGGCUCCUGCAAAUCCCUUAGCUCCCAAGUCGCUUCCUUCCUCACGUGUUGGCCGUGUCACAUUGGGAAUUUCAGCAUCUGUUGGUCAAAAGUCAUAUUCUGUAUUUGGCCGAACUAAUUUUAUCCCAGAUUAUUUCUGACAAGAGUCAACAUUCUUCCCUCCCGCGGCCCCUGCAUCGCCUCAAAGGUCUGCAUUCUCCAGGCAGGCCGCUUUCUUUGCUUGGUUUCCUUGGCCUCCCUCCCCGUCGCAGUGCCCAGAAUGUAAUAAGGAGCCGGUUUCCCGGCCAGGAGCUGGGUGCCCAGGAAUUCCGGCCGGCCCGGCAAGGUCUGUUUGCCAGCCCAUCUGUUUCUAAUCUGCGCAGCGCAGCGCAUUCUUUCUGCCGAGGCAGGCGUGCAGGGCCCGAGCCUGGGGACUACGCUAAUUGAUUGCUAAAUGGAUCUUGUCAUUUCCAAAAGAGGCCUCGAGGCCUGCCCUUGGCUCUGCCUCUGCUCCCUGAGGACGGAAGAACUUCGGAAUUAACCCAUCCACUUCCUUGGGAGAGAGGCGAGGACUGUCUCUACCCUGGGUUGCCAGAAUUCACCAG